UUUUUUUUUGGUUGUCGUUGUAGUUGUUGUUGUUGUUGUUGUUGUUGUUGUUGUUGUUGUUGUUGUUGUUCGUUUUAUAAGUAGAGAAAUAUAGGGAAAGAAAGAAUCAGAGUAAUGUAUGCCAAGAAGGCCUAGAGUCUCAUUUUUGCUGACCUAUAUUAAGAUUUUAGUUUUACUUAAUCCACUGUUCUUCAGAAGUAAAGGUUCUAGACAAAGUUGCAACUUUUUGCUUAUAAAUGAAUUUGUCAUUAGAUAACACCAGUUUGUCAACUUAUUAUGAUCUAUGGUUCUCAAACCGCUCGUGGCGGAUCAGUUUGUGCUGCUAUAUAAGUUAAACAUGCUGAUUAUUCCUUGCUUUUGUGGUUGUUGCUUUUGUGUUCUGAAUUUUUACUUUUGUGUUAAUAGAAAGGAGAGAGAGAGGAAGCCACUUUAGUGCGGCAACAGUCAACAAGACGGCCAAAUCUCUCCUCUCUGCAAAUACCUACAAGAUCUUUGGAAAAUGCAUUAUCCAGUUUUACAAGAAUAGAUGUUCCAAGUCCUAACUCUGCCCGAUCAGGGUUGCCCCCGAGGCCCCACUCUGCUAAGUUCAUGUCAUCUAUGAAGAAUCUGAUUCCACAGAAGAGCACUAGGACAAAAAAUGUAACCCACGAUGGCGAAAAGACAGUUCUCAUUAUCCCAGACACGCCACUUUCAGAUAAGCCUUCAACUUCAAGAUCGUUUUCUCUGAAUAAAGUUUUGUUCUCUUCGACGACAAGAUCAAUCCGCUCUUUACCGGAGACACCAAUGGGAACUUUGGUAAAGCCUGCAGAGGACAAUCAUUUGGGUGCUCAGUUAGAGUUAAUUGUAUGUCAUAUAUCCUAAUAUUUACUUUAUUUGGAUGCAAUUUUUGUGUGUACUCUUUCUUACUUUUUCCUUUUUGUACCAUUGAUAUAUUUACUGACAGAAACCUGAAGCUCAACAGCAUAUGAAGCGAUCAUUUUCAGUGCCUAUACAUGUUAAAAGCAGAAGCUUAAGGAGAACAGAUACUAGUGGCAGUCUCAUCCGUGUCAUUUCCAAAACUGUUCGGCCAACUACGGAUUCUGAUGCCUCAGCAGACAUACCACAGGAAACAGAAAAUGGUAUGUCCAAUUUUGUCUCGUCCUGGCUCUUAUAAAUCUUAUACUCGUCACUAGCUGCUCCAGUUUGCUAAUUCUUCACGAGUGUAUUUAAUAGUGCAUAUGUGAAAAUCUCUUUUGAUCAUUUUCUGGACUAAAAAGGUUCUUGGUACAAGCCUACAACACUAACUGUUUUACGUGUCUGUUUCUGUCUAUUGAGAUGUUAAAUAUAUGUAUGUCUCUGCUUGUUGAUAUUUAUAUCCAUUUAUGAUUUAGGUCCUCUUGUGGCAAGUUAUACUGAAACAACCUUUUAUGGUUAGAGCUUCUUUUAUUUGCUCAUGUUUUACUCCCUCAAUCCCAAUUUACAUGACGCUCUUUCCAUUUGGUACAUGCCAAACUUUUUUACACCAAUCCAAAAAUAUUAUUGUUUUCUACAACUUCAAGAAUUCAAAUUCAAUUAACUUAAAAUUUUUGAAAUUUUGAUGUGAUAAGACUAACAUUUCAACCGUUACUUUAGUAUUUUGUUGCACUACCACUAACAUCAUACAUAAGUCAUAUUUUGGUCUCAAUGUCAAGUCAAGGUAGUAUCAUUUGUAGAUCACAUUUUCAAUUAAAGAGCUCUUUAUCCCAACAAGUUUGGUAAAAACGAGCUUUAAGUUAGUAAGGAAUAGAAUUGGUUCUGUUAAACUGGAAGUCCUUUACGAGGAUUAAGAAUACUGAAUGGUGAAUGUUUCUUAAUUAUCGCAAUUUACUAAUUUCUAUUUGGUCAUGUUCGCUUUUUUUGGCUCAUUGGAGUAGACAGAAUGCUUGAAUCGAGUAGGAUAGUAGAUACUUCAUCAUAGGCAAUAGUUAAGAGUAAAGGACAUGACCUAUGCUGUCUCCUUUCCUUGUUCCAGUACUUCCUAUGACAUCUUCGCUGAUUAUCUUUUGGUGACUAUAAUGGCUUUUUGUCCUACGCUAUCUGCAGCCACGGAUAAUACUGGUGAAGAUAUUCCUGAGGAAGAGGCUGUUUGUAGAAUUUGUUUUGUUGAACUUGGUGAAGAAAGUGAAACGUUUAAAAUGGAAUGCAGCUGCAAAGGAGAGCUUGCACUUGCUCACAAGGAGUGCACUUUGAAGUGGUUUAGUAUUAAGGGUAACAAGAUUUGUGACGUUUGCAAGCAGGAAGUGCGAAACCUCCCCGUAACAUUAUUAAAAAUUCAAAAUCCUCCAACUGCUGCCAGAAGGUCCCAAACUGUUACACAGCAGAGGGAAGUGCCUCGCUACAGGCAAGUUCAGCUAAUAAAGUUUUACGGCUUCCUUUACUUUAGCUUGAAUCCUUCCCAAAUAUUGAACUCAUGAAUGCCCUGGAUCUUGAUAAGCAUUAAUAGGUUUCUUCACAAGUGUAGAACAUAUUUUAAAAUGAGAUUAAACUAAUUAGUUUCCGUCUAUCUUGUGUAUAAAAUGCUUGAAGAUGAGGAAGGGGGAGAGAAGAGAACGUUGUGGUCACAAAAUUUGGCACCUUUUUCGGUGUUGCUUUGGGCAGCAGAGUGAAAAGUGCACACCAAAAAAUUAAAGCUAUUUAGUAAUAAAUUAAGAUUGAGGAAGGAAAUUCAAUCAGUAGAAGAUCUGACAAAGUGAAGAAAGAUUUAGACCCUCAGAUUUCUGAAGAUUAUACAUAUAAAUCAUCAACCUAAAACUUUACUUUCACUUGUUUGGUGUCUUGUCAGUUUUUAUACCAUGAUAAUUGCCUAACUGGUGUCAAUAGUUUCUCAUUUAUUUGGUGAUACUUUUAACCAGGUUAAUCUAAAUGUUAACGAAUGUCACAUGGAAAUUGGUUUUGUCAACUUAUUUGGGUGUUUCUCUCUUCUUUUACUAUCAACAGAGUCUGGCAAGACGUACCUAUCCUUGUCAUGGUCAGCAUGCUUGCCUACUUUUGCUUUCUGGAGCAGCUUCUGGUACUUUCCUUUUGUUUCUUCAUGGUUAUAUAGCUUCCGAUGUGAGUUAAAGUGCUAAUAUAAUCCAGUAUAUUUCAAUUUAUUUUGGGCCAAAUUGCAUUUUUUAGUGCGUAGUUUCUAAGCUGGUGCAUUUCUGUCCUAUUGUUCCGGAAUGUGCAUUUUUGUACUUAUUUUAUAGGGUUUGUGCAUUUCUUGUCCUACUUUUUUGGUCUGUGCACAUAAUACCAGCUUUCUAAAAGAAUUGCUAAACUAGGACUUCCUCUAACGACAUUACCUUUUGACGGCAAAAUAAUCAGAGGCGGAGCUAGGAUUUGAAGUGUGUGGGUUCUAAAUUUUAAAAUAAAACACUGCUUUCAGCGGGAAUCGAACCCCCAUCUUUCCCUGCGAACCCACAGCCCUUACCAUUGAACCAAGACCCCUUUUGUUACUGGGUUCGGCAGUAUAUAUUUAUAUAGAUUUAGUAAAUAUUUCAAUACAAGUACAGGGUUCCGGAAAAAGUCACUGGGUUCGCUCGAACCCGCACCCUCUACUGUAGCUCCGCCCCUGGCAAAAUUUAUGUACUACCUGUUGAUCAGCCAUUUGAGAGUUCCAAAACCAUAUUCAUUUAUACAUUUCUUUUUGUGUGGAAAUUUGAGGACUUGAAAGAUAAAAAGAAAUAAACGUUAUCAUCAAUAUUGUUAAAAUAAAAUGAUUAUUAGCACUAUAUUAAAACGUCCUAAAUUUGUGUGAAGGUAAGGGGGAGAUGUUGGAGAAUUGAUGCUUGUUAUUACUUCAAGAAAUAAUAUUUGAAUGAAUAUAGGUGUUAAGCAUCAAAAAGACUGAUAUAAAUUUGCACACUUCUGCCUAGAUGGAACAUUGGCAUUUCUUUGAUCAUAUAUCAUAUAGCAUUCACAUUUCUGUCUAAUGUAGGACAUUAUGUUUAUCAUUUUCUUUUCUUGUAUCGUGACAGGUGACUGACUUAGGCGCUCGUGCUCUUGCUAUCUCUUUACCUUUCUCUUGUGUUUUAGGUCUCCUUUCUUCUAUGAUAGCUUCUACAAUGGGUAUGAUUGUUUUCCCUUCUCUAUUUUCUUCUCAUCCGAUGUCAUCUCUGAAAUGAUUCCACAUAUAACACUUCUACUUCUUGGUCUUUUCCUUUAACUUAAUUGAAUACUUUCAUAUAUAUUAUGGCUAGAGAGACAAAGGGGGCUGUUAAUCCGCUGCAUGUUUGUUGGAUUUUGUCUCUUAGAAAUCAAGUUAUCUAAGAACUAUCAAAUCACAAUCUAUUCAAUUUCACCAUUUCUUAACUGGAAAUGAACUUUAUAUUAUAGGAUUUAGUGACUUACACACGACUGUUAAGUAGCCAUAUAUAGUGGAAUUUUGAUCUUCAGUAAACAUGGUUAACGUGUUUGGAUAAACAGUUCGUGUCAUUAGCCAAGAGCCUGCUUGGGUAAAAGUUUUCAGGUUUCGCACUUUAGCUAUCCCAUUUUCACAAAAUCCUCUCUAUUGCAAGGGAGACUCUCUCUCUUUUGAGGAUCAGUCCUAAGUAAAAGAAAAAAAAGGAAAAAAGAUCUCAAACUGCUUGUCAUGCUGUAAUACAUACCUCAUCAAUAUAGCCAUGAAUAGAAUGAAAUUGACCUGACAGACAAAGUAACUGAAUGGCUCUGUCUUUUAAACUUUAGACAUGUUUUUAUUAUUGGCUCAUUCCUCGAUGUUCUUUACAUCAUUUUGAUAUUUUUUGGGUCGAAAUACUUUUGUUGUUAGCUCACUCUUUACUCAUUCCUUUUGAUUUUUUUUCUUGGAGGGAUGAAUCCUUUUAUCAAGAAUUAUAACACAUUCUUUGGCCAUUUGCAGUCAGCAAGAGUUACAUAUGGGCUUAUGCUUCAUUUCAGUUUGCAAUUGUUAUCCUGUUCGCCCAUAUAUUUUAUGCAGUGGUAAGUGAUCUUUCACUCUUUAAUUUCUUGCAUUUCUUGGCGCCCUUCUCUCUUAUGUAUGUUGGCAGCCGGGGUAGGGGGAAGGGGAGGGAGUGGGGUUCCUUGUUUGAUCGAUAGGGGAAGGCCGCUGUUGUUUUCACCUGCAAAAAUAACAGAUACAUAUAGAUUUACAUAAUUGCUAUAUGUGCAGCUUAAUGUUAGUGCAAUCCUAUCAGUGCUACUUUCCUCCUUCACUGGCUUCGGUAUUGCAAUUAGUACCAACUCGCUCCUUGUAGAGUAUUUGAGGUGGAGAGCAAGCAGACGUCUACGAUCUUCCCCUGCACAGACAACCAGUGCCACGCAACCACACGUUCUGCCUGAUCAAAGAUAUUAUAGCUACAUUGACAACACCUCACGCCAACAACGUCAUAAUAAUAGUCAGCAACACCACCACCAACCAUUGCAUAAUCCUGUUGUUGGACAUUCAGAGAAUCCAGGGCUGCAAGAGAUUAGAAUUCAGAGUUCUUAACUCAGACUUCUAACAUUUUCACAGCAUUGGGUAAGUAGUUUGAAGUCAAAUCAGUAUGUGAUGCUGAUUAAUGGUCAAGCAUUUUUGUAUUUUGAGGAAUUCCUUAUCUUGUGCUGCUACUUUUAGUAGUACCAUGAAAAUUCACUUGGUACUUAGCUGCACAAGGAAUAGGCCACAUAGAAAAUGUGCCAGUAUAGGGGGCUUGUAGCCGUUGGAGUUAUUUAUCAUGAAAGUAUUUCGAAGCAGGGAAUUUUGAGUACUUUUGAUAUUUUAUGAAAUGUGUUCUACUAAUUUAUGCUGUCAUCGCCAUUUGUAUUAGUUUUUUCCUAAAAUUUUCUUGUAAUUUUAAAGUGUUCAUAAUUAUGAUCUUAUUACAUUUUUAUUUUUCAUGCUUAUAUUAACUUUUUAAAUAAACACUAAGUUGAAGCAUGCAAGUUUUUUCUCAUUAUUAUUUAUGAAUUGUUUUAGGGAUGUAAUGCCUUAUGAUCUCAACUCUCAAGACAAUGAUCUAUGGAAGACCUCUAGAAUAGUGAAAUCUAUUGUAGGAAUGUAAUUAGAACACAAAUGAAAUAAUUUUUUCAUGACUUUUGAAUAAUUGUUGGAAGUUAAAAGGAAUAAACUUCUAAUUGACAUUAUAAACUCUAAAGGUUGAGAUAGUAUGUAUUUUGUACAUUGCAAUAACGUACCUGUAAGAGGAUUUCAAUCAGUGUGUCCAAACAGUUACUACAUGCAUAUUCAAAUAGCAAUACAAGUACCACGUUUGAGUUAUUUUCGUUUACAGAGCACAGAACUGUUAUCCCAGCUCGUGCAUGGUCUUUUAAGUUUCUUUUGCUUCUUGCUUCUUACUUAUCGUGUAAUUUGUUUUAAUAUUGUUUUCUUCCUCUAAAAUAGCUACUCAACCAUCAGGGGUGGAUCCAGUAUAGUGUUACCGGGUUCAAAUGAACCCAGUAAUUUUAUGGUAGAGUAUAAAUUUAUGUGUAAAAUUCUACUAAAUUUAUAAAAAUAGUAGAUGUGAACUUAACUUUAAAUGUAUAAUUGAUUUUAUGUCAAGAAUCUGAACCCAUAGAAUUUAAAUUCCGGAUCCGCCUCUGUCAGCCAUGUAGAUCAUAAUUAAUGAGAACUUUUAAAUGGAAUUCCAAUAAAUUGAAGUAGAUAGUAAAAAAAAUGGCAUGACAAUUUCUGCAUUUCGAUCCAAAUAAUUCAAACACUCUUACAUAAGAUACACGCGUCUAGAAACUAGUAUGUGUAUAACUGUGUGGCCUGCUAUUUGUGUAACAAUCUUGUAUUGACGCAUGCUUGCCCACUCUAGGCAUCAAGUAUUUGGUCAGCUAAUAUCUUUCCAAAACCGAUAAAAGGAAGAAAUAGGUUUGACUCCGAUUUACAAGAUCUACCAGACGAUCUACUUUCCAGGUACUGCAUUAAACAAGAGUUACAUAAUAAAGAAGCAUCACAUAGAAGUCCAUCUCUCUCAGUUACAGCAAGUUUUUCAACUAAAAUUGAGCAAGAAAACCUGGAAAUGUUCAUUUCCUUUGAACUACAAACUACAUUAUGUUAAAAUGACCAGUAAGUAAAUCUUUUCUCAGACAGCUAGAAUGGCUUGGAUACACCAUGGUAUAUUUGUGUAAAGUGCUAUCAAAAUUAAAGGAUAAAAAGAAAGUUAGAAAAACAAAAUACACGGGGAAUAAAUUAUACACAAGCCUUAUUUAUCGAUCUCCCUUGUUCGCUAAAAGCUUCCACGUAUAGUGCUCUGGGAAUUUGGGAUUUCCUCAGCUGAAUAUUACUUUGUAGGUGC
This 7238-nucleotide long non-coding RNA is filed under the name Nicotiana tabacum (common tobacco). Its description in RNAcentral is "long non-coding RNA (NTAB_LNC014351)". Lineage: Eukaryota; Viridiplantae; Streptophyta; Magnoliopsida; Solanales; Solanaceae. The record is from RNAcentral.